This 301-nucleotide ribosomal RNA is filed under the name uncultured bacterium. Its description in RNAcentral is "partial 16S ribosomal RNA". It matches the Rfam family "Bacterial small subunit ribosomal RNA", at positions 509 to 807 of the family's 1533-position model. The record is from RNAcentral.
CAGUAGCCGCGGUAAUACGUAGGGUGCAAGCGUUAAUCGGAAUUACUGGGCGUAAAGCGUGCGCAGGCGGUUAUAUAAGUCAGAUGUGAAAUCCCCGGGCUCAACCUGGGAACUGCAUUUGAGACUGUAUGGCUAGAGUGUGUCAGAGGGGGGUAGAGUUCCACGUGUAGCAGUGAAAUGCGUAGAUAUGUGGAGGAAUACCGAUGGCGAAGGCAGCCCCCUGGGAUAACACUGACGCUCAUGCACGAAAGCGUGGGGAGCAAACAGGAUUAGAUACCCCUGUAGUCCCUGUCUCUUAUAC